RNAcentral lists this long non-coding RNA (411 nucleotides) under Brassica napus (rape). RNAcentral's name for it is "long non-coding RNA (BNAP_LNC011096)". The record is from RNAcentral. Lineage: Eukaryota; Viridiplantae; Streptophyta; Magnoliopsida; Brassicales; Brassicaceae.
UUAUUUUAGUCUUGGGUUUGGUUCACAAUAUUAGGAAUCUGAUAAAGUCUCGAGUUUAAUUCGAGUGUGUGGAUCUGAGUAGGGAUAUAGAAUUUUCGAUCUUGAUUCUGAUUUAGGUAGCUAUGUUUUCGAUUACAUUUGCUGGUUUUUUUAUUUUGUGUAAUUAAAUGUCUUUAUAUUUUUGUAUGUUUAGAGGAUUGGUAUAUCUCAAAGUUACAUACCAAGUCAAAAUAUACCAAUAUCAUUUUGAAAUAGUAAAUAUUUUUAGUCUAAAUAGGGAUUAGGUAUGUAACUUGGGGUUGAGCAUUUUUAAUACAAUUAUAAUUAUUUAUAUUUAGUUUAUAUUAUAAGCAGUUCAAGUAGUGUUACCAUUCUCUAAUCCUUUUCAAAUGCAUCAAUGUAACCCAUCAC